AGGAGCGGCGGCGGGCGGGCCGAGGCCACCUUCGCGCGGGGAGCGUGGAAUACAUGGGCCCUGGGAUCGCGUCACCAGCCAGCGACUGAACCUUGGCGGUGUGGGCCGAGGCGGGGAAGGCGGCAGCGGCGGCGACAGCUCUGGGGUUUGCGUCUCGGGGUGUGUCGGCCGCCGCUGCUGCUUGGGCUUGGUAUGUACAAAUGGCUGGUUAGGAUCCUCGGCACCAUUCUACGUUUCUGCGACCGCUCGGCGCCCCCUGCCCGGGCCCUGCUGAAGAGGCGGCGCUCGAACAGCUCCGUGUUCUCCACAGUGGACACUGAUGAAAUACCAGCUAAAAGACCAAGAUUAGAUUGCUUUCUUCACCGAGUGAAAAGCCAUCUCUACAAUGCUGCCAGCUUUUUUGGAUUCCCAUUCCAGCUGACCAGGAAGCCCAUGGUGACUUCUGCUUGUAAUGGGACACGGAAUGUGGCCCCUUCAGGAGAGGUAUUUUCGAACUCUUCAUCUUGUGAACUGACAGGUUCUGGAUCCAGGAACAACAUGCUGAAACUGGGUAAUAAAUCUCCUAAUGGAAUAAGUGACUAUCCAAAGAUCAGAGUGAUGGUAACGCGAGAUCAGCCACGGAGAGUCCUGCCUUCCUUUGGUUUUUCUUUGAACUCAGAAGGCUAUAAUAGAAGACCAAGUGGCCGUCGCCAUAGCAAAGGCACUGCAGAGAGUUCCUCCCUGUGGAGACCUCAGGAGCAGGCUGUCACCGAGAUGGUUUCUGAAGAGGGUGGCAAGGGGCUGAGGCGUCCCCACUGUACUGUGGAGGAAGGUGUUCAAAAAGAAGAACGAGAGAGGUAUCAGAGGUUAUUAGAGCGACUUAAAGAAGGUGGUCACGGAAGCUCUGUCCCUCCUGUAACUUCACACCAUCACAGUUCUCAAAGAAGUCAUGUGGACACUUUAAAGACCAAAGGCUGGGGGGAAGAGCAGAAUCACGGAGUCAGAGCAACUCAGUUUGUUCCGAAACAGUAUAGAGCCUUUGAAACAAGGGGACCUCUCUGUCCAGUGAGAAGUGAAAAAAGGUGUUCAAAGGGGAAAAUUUCUGAUACAGAGAAGAUGAUUGGAAUCAGACUUGAAAAUGAAGGUAGGAGGGGACACCAGCUGGAGCCCGAUCUAUCGGAAGAAGUGUCAGCCCGACUCCGCCUGGGCAGCGGAAGCAAUGGCUUUCUCAGAAGGAAAAUGUCAAUACUUGAGGCAAAGGAAAAGAAUUUCUCGGGCAAAGAGAGGGACAGAAGAGCAGAUGACCUCCUUGAACUGACAGAGGACAUGGAAAGGGAAAUCAGUUACGCCCUGGGCCACGGCCCACAGGAUGAGAUCCUGAGCAGUGCUUUCAAGUUGCGGAUUACUCGAGGAGAUAUCCAGACCUUAAAGAACUACCACUGGCUGAACGACGAGGUCAUUAAUUUUUACAUGAAUCUUCUAGUGGAAAGAAAUAAAAAACAAGGCUACCCAGCCCUUCAUGCAUUCAGUACUUUCUUCUAUCCUAAAUUAAAGUCUGGGGGUUACCAAGCCGUAAAAAGAUGGACCAAAGGAGUGAAUCUCUUUGAACAAGAGCUUAUCCUGGUGCCUAUCCAUCGGAAGGUGCACUGGGGCCUUGUGGUGAUGGACCUAAGAAAAAAGUGUCUUAAGUAUCUGGAUUCUAUGGGACAGAAAGGCCACAGGAUCUGUGAGAUUCUCCUUCAGUAUUUACAGGACGAAAGCAAGACCAAAAGAAACAUCGAUCUGAAUCUGUUAGAGUGGACCCGCUACAGCAUGAAGCCGCACGUCGUAGGGUCCCAUGGCAUGGUCAUCAGGAGUCAAGCAAGCUGCUUAUGAAUGUGCUUUGUAUCUUGCAAGACUUGAGCCUCAGUUCAUAGUUGGAAGGUGAUCCUGCCUUGAGUCCUACCAGCCUCCCUUUGAAGAGAUUCCUCAACAGCUAAAUGGGAGUGAUUGUGGAAUGUUUACUUGUAAAUAUGCGGACUAUAUUGCUAGGGACAAACCUAUCACAUUUACACAGCACCAGAUGCCUCUGUUCCGGAAGAAGAUGGUGUGGGAAAUCCUGCAUCAGCAGCUGCUUUGAGAAUGUUGCCCGCCUGCUCCGGCCACUGGCGGUCCCUUCCCAGCGGUCUCCACAUACCUCAGCAUCUUGGGCUACCAAGUCUCUGUGCCGCUUCUGUUCUCCCACAGGUACUGAGCUGUUGCCGUGCGUGGAGACAUCUUGGGGUGCGAGGGGCUGCUUGUGACCCUGACUGUAAGGCUGUGCCUGCUCGGAGCCCCGGACUGUUCAGCCUGCACAAGAGCAAACGCUACUCAAUGUUUUCUCGUUUUAAAGAGCCAUUUCCCUGGGAAUGUGGGAAAUGCAGGAUUCAUGCUAUGAAUUGUUUUUUCCGUGUAUUUGUUCACGUGUAUUCAUUUGCUCACUCGUUUGCAAACAUUGGGCAGUAGGCAUUUUCCAUUGCCUCUGACGGUUAACUCUAAAUGAUGUGCUUGAACUAUUUAUUUCUGAGAGGGAUGUCGAUCAAACUGCUGCUCCCUGCUGAAGGUCAGGAGGAACAGGUAGCUGCAGGGCAGGAUGGCAGAGGGCAGAAGUAACGCCAAGCGAGCGGUACCUGCCGCCCCGGAGUUAGAGUCUGGCUUCUGGGCGAGGCAGAAACCCCAUGGUGGGGCCUGGCUCGGAGCAAGUCCGACACGGCUGCGCUGGCGCCGUGCUGUGGCGAAGCGACUGUGGCCAAGGAGCUCUGCUCUCUGCGGGUCAGAAGUGUGGCGUGCUCAUCAGGUGGCACGGCUCACUCUUGAAACUGGAUUCCAAGUAACCAUAAACCCCAAAUCUUCACUUUUGUCCCAGAUCCGGUUGAGUGUAAACCUCGGAAUCAUAAGGGCUGGCCUGAGCUGUUAAAUAUUUGAGAAGAUACUAUUCGAUUUAAAGCUAUUUUUCCUCAAAGAUUUUUUUUCUAUAUAUUAAGCUAAAAUUAAGUUUUGUAUUCAUUACGAUUCACACCCCUCCCCUGUCCCCAGUGCCCCCACCGAAGUCUGUGGAAGAUUUAGUACUUGGCUCUGAGGUCACCAGUUAUAAUAGUCUAUUUUGCAUAUGAAAGUUUGUAUUUAACUUUUUGUUCAUUGACAACCUUACCGAUGUGGUUAUACGUUUUUAAUUUCAGAAAGGUUAGAGUUGGUCAGAACCUAUUUUGCAAGGUCUAGUGCCUAGUGUCGCUUUUAUGAUGUAAUAAAGGCCCUCUGGCAGAACCGCA
Molecule: non-coding RNA, 3266 nt
Organism: Heterocephalus glaber (naked mole-rat)
Lineage: Eukaryota; Metazoa; Chordata; Mammalia; Rodentia; Bathyergidae
Source: RefSeq, a predicted model, not a curated record